AUAUCCUAGUAAUGACAGUAU
Molecule: non-coding RNA, 21 nt
Filed under: Arabidopsis thaliana (thale cress)
Lineage: Eukaryota; Viridiplantae; Streptophyta; Magnoliopsida; Brassicales; Brassicaceae
Source: RNAcentral